UACACUCCUGCGGGAGGCAGCAGUGGGGAAUAUUGCACAAUGGGCGCAAGCCUGAUGCAGCCAUGCCGCGUGUAUGAAGAAGGCCUUCGGGUUGUAAAGUACUUUCAGCGGGGAGGAAGGCAAUACGGUUAAUAACCGUGUUGAUUGACGUUACCCGCAGAAGAAGCACCGGCUAACUCCGUGCCAGCAGCCGCGGUAAUACGGAGGGUGCAAGCGUUAAUCGGAAUUACUGGGCGUAAAGCGCACGCAGGCGGUCUGUCAAGUCGGAUGUGAAAUCCCCGGGCUCAACCUGGGAACUGCAUUCGAAACUGGCAGGCUUGAGUCUUGUAGAGGGGGGUAGAAUUCCAGGUGUAGCGGUGAAAUGCGUAGAGAUCUGGAGGAAUACCGGUGGCGAAGGCGGCCCCCUGGACAAAGACUGACGCUCAGGUGCGAAAGCGUGGGGAGCAAACAGGAUUAGAAACCCCGGUAGUCCC
RNAcentral lists this ribosomal RNA (473 nucleotides) under uncultured organism. Its description in RNAcentral is "partial 16S ribosomal RNA". It matches the Rfam family "Bacterial small subunit ribosomal RNA", at positions 332 to 797 of the family's 1533-position model. The record is from RNAcentral.